CCCUGCCAUUUGUACACACCGCCCGUCGCUCCUACCGUUGGAUUCGAAGGUGAGCUUGCCGGAUGAACUAUGGCUUGCCCAUAGACAGAAAUCAAACAAACCUUCUUAUCUGUAGGAAGGAGAAGUCGUAACAA
This 134-nucleotide ribosomal RNA is filed under the name uncultured eukaryote. RNAcentral describes it as "partial small subunit ribosomal RNA". It matches the Rfam family "Eukaryotic small subunit ribosomal RNA", at positions 1651 to 1797 of the family's 1831-position model. The record is from RNAcentral.